UUAUCUGGUUGAUCUGCAGCAACAGGGUCAGAUACCUGUUAUCUGGUCCAAUCGGACCCAAACGGACCCAAAAGGAUCCAAACAGACCUGCCUGCACUCCGAGAGGGGACGGGGCGGGAUGCUGUAAAUGAGAUGGAGGCAGGUAUUAUCCAUUUCAGAGACGUAUGGAGGUCCAAGGACAGCGCCAGCAGGGUAAACAAUGCUUACAGGAGGCGUGAUGAUGUGGGCAGAGUGAGGGAUGGCGGCGGCUGCAGCAGGCUGCUGCAGGCGGCUGCUGCAGGCAGCCGGCGUUAAUGAUGGAACUGCUUCUGUUAGGAUUCAAGUUGGUGUGUGCUCCUCGGAAUAGACAAUCUUCGUGGGAGCGUUCCGGCAGGCUGACGCACCUGAAGCGGAUUUCUGAAAUCGGCUGCAGGAUUCUUAAGAAGCGGUGGAGCAGCCAUUCAUCGCUCGAUGGUCCCACUUGUUGAUUUUGGAUGCUCUGCCUGGAUCCAGCUAGGAACCACGCCCACCCGAACACUGACACCGAUCGCCCUCCGGACUAAACGCUCUCGUCUGCCGCCUGAGCCCGCAACCUUCUCGGAGCCUUUGCACCAACGGAUCCUACCUCCUCCUCGGCAAUCCUCCAUCAGAUGAUCUUACCUGAGCCGCCCAGCCGCUCCGAUCCCAGAGGACAACUUAGGCUCAACAUAUUCAAUAAUAACUGUAACUAAAUCUUUGAAUCAAAACCUUCCGGUCUGAUGUCUAAACCUGCAUGUGGGUAAAGAAACUCAAAUCCAACAUGACAGCUUCAUGAACAAUGCGGCUCCUGGUGGCUUUGUUGGCUCACAGCUUCUGCUUUUUCUGACUCUGCUG
Poeciliopsis prolifica (blackstripe livebearer) is the source of this 852-nucleotide long non-coding RNA. RefSeq lists it as uncharacterized. The record is from RefSeq and is a predicted model, not a curated record. NCBI's taxonomy places the organism in Eukaryota, Metazoa, Chordata, Actinopteri, Cyprinodontiformes, Poeciliidae. The transcript has 3 exons.